Molecule: unclassified non-coding RNA, 410 nt
Filed under: Hevea brasiliensis (rubber tree)
Lineage: Eukaryota; Viridiplantae; Streptophyta; Magnoliopsida; Malpighiales; Euphorbiaceae
Source: RNAcentral
CAAAAUUUGUCGUUCCGUCUAAUGGGUCAAUGCACCAAAGGUAAUCAGAUGAUGUGUCCCCAAUAAGGCCACCUUCCUCCCCAAGGAUAAGAUGAUCUUUGAAGUUUUUUCUCACAACAUCUAGAAUGACAGACUCACUCAAUUUAUCUGUGUCUGUUACCAAAUCUGUGGCUCCUUUGUAAACAAUAUUACGAGGCUUGUUAACAGCUUCCAUCACAACCUCAGCGCCAGCCUUGGCAGCGGCCUCAACGACUCGGAGGAGCUCGGCCGCGGGGAUUGGCCCGGUUGACGCGGCGGCGAUCUUUGAGUACCGCUUCUCGUUGGGGAGCUCGGAGAGGACGGCUCUGGUUUGGAGCCGCGAUGCGGGCUUGGACAUGAGGGGCAGCUGGAGAGGGAGAACGCCACGGUUG